Molecule: long non-coding RNA, 153 nt
Organism: Oncorhynchus tshawytscha (Chinook salmon)
Lineage: Eukaryota; Metazoa; Chordata; Actinopteri; Salmoniformes; Salmonidae
Exons: 3
Source: RefSeq, a predicted model, not a curated record
UCUCCAGUAAUUAUGCUGCAGUAGUUUAUGAGUCGGGGGGCUAGGGUCAGUCUGUUAUAUCUGGAGUAUUUCUCCUGUCUUAUCCGGUGUCCUGUGUGAAUUUAAGUAUGCUCUCUCUAAUUCUCUCUUUCUUUCGUUCUUUCUUUCUUUCUU